CCUACGGGCGGCAGCAGUGAGGAAUAUUGGUCAAUGGGCGCGAGCCUGAACCAGCCAAGUAGCGUGAAGGAUGACGGCCCUACGGGUUGUAAACUUCUUUUAUAAAGGAAUAAAGUGAGGCACGUGUGCCUUUUUGUAUGUACUUUAUGAAUAAGGAUCGGCUAACUCCGUGCAAGCAGCCGCGGUAAUACGGAGGAUCCGAGCUUUAUCCGGAUUUAUUGGGUUUAAAGGGAGCGUAGAUGGGUUGUUAAGUCAGUUGUGAAAGUUUGCUGCUCACCCGUAAAAUUGCAAUUGAUACUGGCAGCCUUGAGUACAGUUGAGGUAGGCGGAAUUCGUGGUGUAGCGGUGAAAUGCUUAGAUAUCACGAAGAACUCCGAUUGCGAAGGCAGCUUACUAAACUGCCACUGACAUUGAUGCUCGAAAGUGUGGGUAUCAAACAGGAUUAGAUACCCUUGUAGUC
This 460-nucleotide ribosomal RNA is filed under the name uncultured bacterium. RNAcentral describes it as "partial 16S ribosomal RNA". It matches the Rfam family "Bacterial small subunit ribosomal RNA", at positions 338 to 795 of the family's 1533-position model. The record is from RNAcentral.